AGUCUUUGCGACUUUUGGGGUGGUUCCUAAACAGAAGGUUGUACUUGCCACCUACAUGCUCGUGGGAGAGGCAGGUCACUAGUGGUAGCUCAAACAUGCCACCCUGCCCGUUCCAGUCACUUGGGAACAGAUCCUGAUGGCCUUCAAUGCAAAGUACCUCUUAGAGCACCUUUGACAUUUGAAGAAAAUGAAGUUUGCACACCUAGUCUAUGGUGAUAUGACUGUGUCAGAGUAUACUCGAAAGUUCUAAGAGUUGGGCCAGUAUUCCCUCAAGAAUAUGAUAAAUGAAGGCAGGAAGGCAAAGAAGUCCGAGUGGGGCCUUCGUCCUGAGAUCAGAUAACAGUUGUAUGUAUUUGAGCUCAACGCCUACUUAGUCAUCCUUUCCAAGGCACAGCUGGUAGAGAGGAACCUUUAUAUCUUUCCUCCAGUAGUGAAAAAUUCCAAACCCCCUGUUUCACAUUGCAGACCAAUACCCACUUUACCAGUUCAGCAAAACAAGAGACCUAGGUUAGUGAUUGAGGUUCCUCCUCAGGUUUCAGAAAUAGGACGUGGUAGGACUUGCUAGCAUUGUGACAAGGAUCAUGGGGAUCGACUCUACUAUCGUCUAAACAAUACAUGUCAUAUAUGUGAGAGUGUCCAACACUACGCGAAAGAGUGCCUGCAAAAUCAUAAUCAGGCUAAACCUCCUAUCCAG
Molecule: long non-coding RNA, 694 nt
Filed under: Carica papaya (papaya)
Lineage: Eukaryota; Viridiplantae; Streptophyta; Magnoliopsida; Brassicales; Caricaceae
Description: long non-coding RNA (CPAP_LNC010334)
Source: RNAcentral